ACUUCAUGGUUAGGGAAUUGCAUGAUAUUUUCAUUAAAAUUUCUCAUACUUCAUAAAAAGGUUCCUCAUUGAGUUGAUGAAAAAUUGUAAUUUCUUCUGGCAAU
Capsicum annuum is the source of this 104-nucleotide non-coding RNA. The record is from Rfam. NCBI's taxonomy places the organism in Eukaryota, Viridiplantae, Streptophyta, Magnoliopsida, Solanales, Solanaceae.